Long non-coding RNA from Ipomoea triloba (trilobed morning glory), 608 nucleotides. RefSeq lists it as uncharacterized. NCBI's taxonomy places the organism in Eukaryota, Viridiplantae, Streptophyta, Magnoliopsida, Solanales, Convolvulaceae. The record is from RefSeq and is a predicted model, not a curated record. The transcript is spliced from 3 exons.
UCAAGUCUUAAGAACUCCAUAACCAAUCCUUCUUCACAUCUUCAUCAAAGAUUCGGGUUUCAAGAAGGAAUUGGGGAAAAUCCACCAAAAGCAUCUUUAAGACAAUAUUAACUACUUUGGAGAUGGAGUCCAGCGUUAGUUCUUGCAGUCCGACGAACUCCCCUAGUUCGUCGGAAGGUGUAGGUCGUGGCAUGGACUACGACGUUUUUGUACAGCAGAUGAGUGGCGCCGACCCUUAUGCGCCUGGCUAUGCUCCUACAGCUCCCAAUAGCUCACCGGCAGUAAAUAGUGUUCUUCCUAUUCCUGAUGGUCCUGACGUACAGGCCACUUUUGGUUUUUACCCCAUCGAGGUGCUGGUAGGAAGUAACCCCUAGAGUUUAUAGUUUAUUAUCCUUACCCUUGGGACCCGAGUCCUCCCGAGAGUUGGGAGGAGUGGUCUAUGGUCAUAGUCGCUUCCCGGUUCCUAGACCAUAUCACAUGGUACGAAGGGGAAUGGCAUCUUGUCUGGGGUGAGUUUACGGGUCCGACGUAUCUCCAGAUCGUGUAAGCAGGAUGCACAGAAGGUCUGUAGGGGUUUAUUCCUUUUAUGUAAAUAUAUUUUGUAGCCA